GCGGGUGGGGAGAGGGGCGCAGAAGCCGCGGGAGAGCGCGGCCCAGAGGCCGAGGAGGGCGCGGGCGGAGCCGGCCCGAGCCCGGCCGCCAUCGUGGACACUUGCAGCGGUUGACAGUUCCCACCACGGCCCAAGAGACAGCGGCUACGGAGGCAGAAAGAGCCCAGCCACCCUCAUCACAGCCCGCACGCCCGCCUCACCUGGACUUGCCCACCCCACUCUCACCGAUGAUGAGGCUCUUCAGGGUGCAACACGUCCUCGUCCACCCUAACCCCGCUGCACUCCGAGCCCAGCUGGCCGCCCAGAUCUUUGCUCAAAUGUUGCCUUCUUAAGGAGGCCUUCCCUGCACAUCCUACUGAAAAUAUGCAGAUUCCUCCAGCAUCUCCGAGAAAUCCAAAAGCCUGGCAUGCUGGCAAAAGCGUACACAGACCAUCUACAACAUGUUUGGACUCUCUGACUUGUCUAUAUUUUCACCAGGUAAAGAAAGCUUUUUAUGGUUUGCUGGGGACAAUCAACCCCUUCACAAUCUAGAACCUGAAGAUUGGAUAUUCUCAGAACAUCAGAGAAAGACUGUCCUUGCCAUUCACACUGCAACAAAACUUUGGAAACUUGAACCUUGGGUUCAUAAACUCACAACUGAGAAAGGUCCCUCCACACCCUUGGAACUGUACACCCAUUGGAACCCUCAAGGUUUUAAAUAUUUGCAUGCAGCCAUCUCUAGAAAGUCAAAUGGUAUCUCUUCAACUGGAAUGACAAGAGAUGAAAGAAAUGUGCAACCAUGAGGAUAUUGUAACCUACGAAUGAUGUGCUGAGACCGGAAACCCAAAAUGAUGGUAACGGGAGAGUGGUGCUGAGGCCCUAAGUUUUGGUCAUACUCUCACCUAAGUGAGAACCUGACCAAAAAGGGGGAAUUUUUUAAAAUAAAAUUAUGAGAGGCCAUUGUUUUGGACUAAGCUCAUGCACUAGGCCCCAAUAGGCCAAACCAAACUAAAAAGCAGUAACUUGUGCUAAAUGUGACAUAAUGAAACUAAGACUUUAAGGAAACACAUAGAUCCUAGAACAGACCAGGUUUUGUUUUUCUCCUGUAAACAGGACGUUCCAGCAUAAAGAGGUACCCUCUACUCAUUCCUCAUUCCCUCUUUCCAAAACCCACUGUUCUACUGUUUCCCAGUGGGUUUCAACACCAAAUAAGUACAUUUACAAAGGUGAUGGUGACAUCAGUAACUACAGUUUUGGUCAAUCUCUCAAAAUUGAGAAAAUGACCAAAAGGGAGGAAUUGUUAAAGUGAAUUAAAUAUGUCCUUAGAAGGACCCCAUACUUCUAUAUUUCAGUCCUUGUGGAUGAACUGCAACCUAGCUUAAUAGGUAGACAGGAUUCAAAACAUAACUUAGGAAUAUGUGCCUAUAAUAAUAGCUGAGCCUUGGUCAAUCCCAGUGGCCAUACUUCAACAAUUCAUACACUGCUGAAGGUUCAAACUGUGUUCAAAUAAGGCAAAUGCCAAGCCGUAACCAAUCCAGCUGUUCUGUACCUCACUUCCAAUUUCUGUACGUUGUUUCCCUUUUUUUUGUCUAUAAAUCUUCUUCCACCACGUGGCUAUGCUGGAGUCUCUGUGAAUCUGCUGUGAUUCUGGGGGCUGCCCGUUUCACGAAUCAUUCACUGCUCAAUUAAACUCCUUUAAAUUUA
Pan troglodytes (chimpanzee) is the source of this 1683-nucleotide long non-coding RNA. RefSeq lists it as uncharacterized. NCBI's taxonomy places the organism in Eukaryota, Metazoa, Chordata, Mammalia, Primates, Hominidae. The record is from RefSeq and is a predicted model, not a curated record. The transcript is spliced from 5 exons.